GGGGUUGUGGCUCAGUGGUAGAGUGCUGCCUCACAUGCAUGAGGCACUGGGUUCAAUCCUCAGCACCUCA
This 70-nucleotide transfer RNA is filed under the name Marmota marmota marmota (Alpine marmot). It matches the Rfam family "tRNA". From Rfam's summary of the family: Transfer RNA (tRNA) molecules are approximately 80 nucleotides in length. Their secondary structure includes four short double-helical elements and three loops (D, anti-codon, and T loops). RNAcentral also lists the same sequence under 1 other name. Lineage: Eukaryota; Metazoa; Chordata; Mammalia; Rodentia; Sciuridae. The record is from Rfam by way of RNAcentral.